RNAcentral lists this ribosomal RNA (505 nucleotides) under uncultured bacterium. RNAcentral's name for it is "partial 16S ribosomal RNA". It matches the Rfam family "Bacterial small subunit ribosomal RNA", at positions 28 to 507 of the family's 1533-position model. The record is from RNAcentral.
GACGAACGCUGGCGGCGUGCCUAAUACAUGCAAGUAGAACGCACAGUUUAUACCGUAGCUUGCUACACCAUAGACUGUGAGUUGCGAACGGGUGAGUAACGCGUAGGUAACCUGCCUGGUAGCGGGGGAUAACUAUUGGAAACGAUAGCUAAUACCGCAUAAUAUUAAUUAUUGCAUGAUAAUUAAUUGAAAGGUGCAAUUGCACCACUACCAGAUGGACCUGCGUUGUAUUAGCUAGUAGGUGAGGUAACGGCUCACCUAGGCGACGAUACAUAGCCGACCUGAUAGGGUGAUCGGCCACACUGGGACUGAGACACGGCCCAGACUCCUACGGGAGGCAGCAGUAGGGAAGCUUCGGCAAUGGACGAAAGUCUGACCGAGCAACGCCGCGUGAGUGAAGAAGGUUUUCGGAUCGUAAAGCUCUGUUGUAAGAGAAGAACGGGUGUGAGAGUGGAAAGUUCACACUGUGACGGUAUCUUACCAGAAAGGGACGGCUAACUACGUG